AUGCAUUGGUUUGCAUGGUGGAAAUUGUGUGUACCGAAGAAGAAAGGGGGCUUGGGAUUUAGAGACCUUCACGGUUUUAACCUUGCUAUGUUAGCAAAACAGUGUUGGCGACUAAUCCAGAAUCCGGACUCUCUAUGUGCAUGUGUUUUGAGCGCAAAGUAUUAUCCCGAUGGAAACAUCUUGCAAGCUGGACCAAAGAAUGGGUCGUCAUUUACUUGGCAGAGCAUAAUUGCAGGUAUUCAAACUUUCCAGAGGGGGUGCAUUUGGCGUGUAGGUACAAGAGCACAAAUUGAUAUAUGGCGGGAUCCUUGGAUCCCUUCGAAUCCUUCAAGGAAGGUAAUCACCCCUAGAGGUGCAACGAUGCUCAGAUUUGUGGAAGAGCUUAUUGAUCCACACAUUGGACAGUGGGAUGAAGUGCUAAUCAGAGAUGUAUUCUCUCCUGUUGAUGCUCAUAGGAUCCUUCAAAUACCUUUGAAUGUGCAGAUUAUGGAGGAUUUUAUUGCUUGGAACUACACGCGAUCGGGAACCUUUUCGGUAAGAUUGGCAUAUCACAGGGAGUUCGAGCACCAAUAUGGGCGGCGUCUUAGAAGAACAGAUGGACAAGGAAAUAUACAAAUGAAUACCAUAUGGAAGGAAGUGUGGAAUCUAAAACUCCCAGGAAAAACUAAGCACUUUAUUUGGAAGGCGUUGAAUGGCUCAUUGCCUUGUUUUGGAGUACUAGCUAAUAGGCAUAUUCCGGUAGUGCCCCAAUGUCCUUUUUGUUCCAUUGGGCUGGAAGAUAUCCACCAUUGUUUGUUUAUGUGCAAACGGGCGAAGGAAGUCUGGACUGAAUUGGGUUUGCUGGAAAUCAUCUCGGAUGCGGUUGGGCAGGAUCGCUCAGGUUCAAUUACAGUCGAGGUUUUUAGCCGGAUUAAAACGGCCAGGGAGGAUCUACCCACUGCAGAAUUUAUUAUGGUGGCUGCUUGGUACUUGUGGUGGCAGCGCCGCCAACACGUGAAGGGCGAAGCGAUCCAAACUGCGGACGGAGCUGCUACAUCGAUCAGAGUUUUAGCGACAAAUUUCAUUUGA
RNAcentral lists this ribosomal RNA (1068 nucleotides) under Triticum aestivum (bread wheat). RNAcentral's name for it is "partial small subunit ribosomal RNA". The record is from RNAcentral. Lineage: Eukaryota; Viridiplantae; Streptophyta; Magnoliopsida; Poales; Poaceae.